GACGAACGCUGGCGGCGUGCCUAAUACAUGCAAGUCGAACGAGAGCAACCGGUGCUUGCACUGGUCAAUCUAGUGGCGAACGGGUGAGUAACACGUGGGUAACCUGCCCAUCAGAGGGGGAUAACAUCCGGAAACGGAUGCUAAAACCGCAUAGGUCUUCGAACCGCAUGGUUGGAAGAGGAAAAGAGGCGCAAGCUUCUGCUGAUGGAUGGACCCGCGGUGCAUUAGCUAGUUGGUGAGGUAACGGCUCACCAAGGCCGUGAUGCAUAGCCGACCUGAGGGGGUGAUCGGCCACAUUGGGACUGAGACACGGCCCAAACUCCUACGGGAGGCAGCAGUAGGGAAUCUUCCGCAAAGGACGCAAGUCUGACGGAGCAACGCCGCGUGAGUGAAGAAGGUUUUCGGAUCGUAAAACUCUGUUGUUAGAGAAGAACAAGUGCUAGAGUAACUGUUAGCGCCUUGACGGUAUCUAACCAGAAAGCCACGGCUAACUACGUG
RNAcentral lists this ribosomal RNA (498 nucleotides) under uncultured bacterium. Its description in RNAcentral is "partial 16S ribosomal RNA". It matches the Rfam family "Bacterial small subunit ribosomal RNA", at positions 28 to 507 of the family's 1533-position model. The record is from RNAcentral.